UACGUAGGGUGCGAGCGUUGUCCGGAAUUAUUGGGCGUAAAGGGCUCGUAGGCGGUCUGUCGCGUCGGGAGUGAAAACUCAGGGCUUAACCCUGAGCCUGCUUCCGAUACGGGCAGACUAGAGGUAUGCAGGGGAGAACGGAAUUCCUGGUGUAGCGGUGGAAUGCGCAGAUAUCAGGAGGAACACCGGUGGCGAAGGCGGUUCUCUGGGCAUUACCUGACGCUGAGGUGCGAAAGCCAGGGGAGCAAACGGG
This 253-nucleotide ribosomal RNA is filed under the name uncultured bacterium. RNAcentral describes it as "partial 16S ribosomal RNA". It matches the Rfam family "Bacterial small subunit ribosomal RNA", at positions 524 to 776 of the family's 1533-position model. The record is from RNAcentral.